GAACCAAACAGAGUUUGGGCCUGUUCCUCAGGCAGUCCCGGGGCAGAACAUGCCAUUGACCGAGAAUAACAAGGGGGAUAACGUGCCUCACAUGCCAGACAAGGAACGGUACAACAGGGAGGAUUUUCCCGAGAAUUACCCAAAUGCAAAAUUUUUUGUUAUUAAGUCAUACAGUGAGGAUGAUGUUCAUAAAAGCAUCAAGUAUGGUGUGUGGGCAAGCACACCUAAUGGAAAUAAGAAGCUAGAUGCAGCUUACCAUGAGGCCAAGGAAAUUCCUGGUGGCUGCCCUGUAUUUCUACUAUUUUCUGUCAACACCAGUGGGCAAUUUGUUGGUUUGGCUGAGAUGGUGGGGGCUGUUGAUUUUAACAAAACAAUGGAGUAUUGGCAACAGGAGAAGUGGAUUGGUUGCUUCCCUGUCAAGUGGCAUAUUGUUAAGGAUGUAGCAAAUAGUUCCUUGAGGCAUAUAACACUUGAGAACAAUGAGAACAAGCCUGUCACUAAUAGUAGGGAUACACAAGAGGUUAUCUUGGAGAAAGGUAUUCAGAUACUUAAAAUUUUUAAGGGUCAUAGAAGCAAGACUUCCAUACUGGAUGAUUUUGGGUUUUAUGCGGCUCGCGAAAGGAUUAUGCUGGAGAAAAGGGCUAAGCAAAAAAUUCAAAAACAGGUUUUUGACAGGAAGCCUGGCAAUGAUUUGGCUACUAAUUUAGAGAAACUUGAAAUGGUGGGGAAAGAGAGUUCAGAAAAAUCCAUCAACAGUGUAUUGAAGGAACCAGUUGGUGCAGUAGCAGUUGAACUGGGGAAGAUGAAUGGGGAGGUAAAGCUGCUAGAAGAGAAUAGAUCAGAUGCAGCAGUUGAAAACUCCCCUAACAAUAACAAGUCCGUUGGGGCAUCUGAAAACAAAGUUGAUCCUAAUGUGGUUGCAAGUGCCUGCUAAUUUUUAGGCGUUUACCACUUCAUUUUGGGAUAGGAUGUUAGGGCAGAGUUGAGGUGAUGGGUUUCAUGACACUGUUAGUGAAUUUGCUAAUUACUAUCAGUACUCACAUAGGUUAGCUUUACCUUUUUUAGAUGGACUCAUGCUUUGUGGAUCAGAAAGACCUGUGUUCUUUUAUAGCUUGGUGAGACAGACUGGCUUCUCAGGACCUUUAAAGAUAAUGUUUUUCUCUCCUUUUGGUGGGAAAUUUUGAGUAAUUCUCUCAUAAUUGUUACUUUAUGCCCUUCUUUUUUUUA
RNAcentral lists this unclassified non-coding RNA (1227 nucleotides) under Hevea brasiliensis (rubber tree). The record is from RNAcentral. Lineage: Eukaryota; Viridiplantae; Streptophyta; Magnoliopsida; Malpighiales; Euphorbiaceae.